GUGAAUCAUCGAAUUUUUGAACGCAAAUUGCACUCUCUUCGGAGAGUAUGCCUGUUUGAGGGUCAGCCUAUAAAAAAUCGACGUAGUCGCUGUUUCGCGGUGACAUUCGUCGGAAAUUGGGUCAUCUUAAAUCUUUGGGUUUUUUACGAGGUUAAAUUUUCUUUUUACUUCCAUACGCAUGUUUCGAAUUU
RNAcentral lists this unclassified non-coding RNA (191 nucleotides) under Glomus sp. RNAcentral's name for it is "partial contains 5.8S ribosomal RNA and internal transcribed spacer 2". The stretch from base 1 to 65 matches the Rfam family "5.8S ribosomal RNA", at positions 84 to 154 of the family's 154-position model. Lineage: Eukaryota; Fungi; Glomeromycota; Glomeromycetes; Glomerales; Glomeraceae. The record is from RNAcentral.